UGGGGAAUUUUGGACGAAUUGGGCGAAAGCCUGAUCCAGCAAUGCCGCGUGUGUGAAGAAGGCCUUCGGGUUGUAAAGCACUUUUGUCCGGAAAGAAAUCCUUGGCUCUAAUGCAGUCGGGGGAUGACGGUACCGGAAGAAUAAGCACCGGCUAACUACGUGCCAGCAGCCGCGGUAAUACGUAGGGUGCAAGCGUUAAUCGGAAUUACUGGGCGUAAAGCGUGCGCAGGCGGUUUGCUAAGACCGAUGUGAAAUCCCCGGGCUCAACCUGGGAACUGCAUUGGUGACUGGCAGGCUAGAGCAUGGCAGAGGGGGGUAGAAUUCCACGUGUAGCAGUGAAAUGCGUAGAGAUGUGGAGGAAUACCGAUGGCGAAGGCAGCCCCCUGGGCCAAUACUGACGCUCAUGCACGAAAGCGUGGGGAGCAAACAGGAUUAGAUACCCUGGUAUCCACGCCCUAAAGAU
This 463-nucleotide ribosomal RNA is filed under the name uncultured bacterium. RNAcentral describes it as "partial 16S ribosomal RNA". It matches the Rfam family "Bacterial small subunit ribosomal RNA", at positions 355 to 809 of the family's 1533-position model. The record is from RNAcentral.